Molecule: long non-coding RNA, 339 nt
Filed under: Lathyrus oleraceus (garden pea)
Lineage: Eukaryota; Viridiplantae; Streptophyta; Magnoliopsida; Fabales; Fabaceae
Description: Pisum sativum (pea) long non-coding RNA (PSAT_LNC001563)
Source: RNAcentral
UUCAAUACAAUUCAAUUUGGAUAUAUGGUCGAUAACCAUAUUUUUGCACACAGUUACAUAUAUCUACAUUAUUUUUGUUUUUUUAUGAUGAUAAUGCAUAUAUCAAGGAGGUGGUAAAAUAGAAAAUAAAUUGAUGAAAGAUUGGAGUGGUGAAACUCCUUCUCACAGAUAAAGAAAAUGUAGCCUCCAAAAAGUAUAUUUCUCCCCCAUUUGACAUUACUAAAAGACAUGCAAAGCACAUAGAUCACAUUAUUCAUUUUGAGUAAGGGAGUAUGGAGAAAGAGAAGAAACAUUUAACAGAUUAAUUCAUGCAUGAUUGAUUCAAGAUUUCUUAUUUAG